AAAGAGCUCGUAGGCGGUUUGUCGCGUCUGCUGUGAAAACCCGAGGCUCAACCUCGGGCCUGCAGUGGGUACGGGCAAACUAGAGUGCGGUAGGGGAGAUUGGAAUUCCUGGUGUAGCGGUGGAAUGCGCAGAUAUCAGGAGGAACACCGAUGGCGAAGGCAGAUCUCUGGGCCGUAACUGACGCUGAGGAGCGAAAGCGUGGGGAGCGAACAGGAUUAGAUACCCUGGUAGUCCACGCCGUAAACGUUGGGCGCUAGAUGUGGGGACCAUUCCACGGUUUCCGUGUCGCAGCUAACGCAUUAAGCGCCCCGCCUGGGGAGUACGGCCGCAAGGCUAAAACUCAAAGGAAUUGACGGGGGCCCGCACAAGCGGCGGAGCAUGCGGAUUAAUUCGAUGCAACGCGAAGAACCUUACCAAGGCUUGACAUAUACCUGAAAAGGCUGGAAACAGUCUCCCCGCAAGGCAGGUAUACAGGUGGUGCAUGGUUGUCGUCAGCUCGUGUCGUGAGAUGUUGGGUUAAGUCCCGCAACGAGCGCAACCCUCGUUCUAUGUUGCCAGCACGUCAUGGUGGGAACUCAUAGGAGACUGCCGGGGUCAACUCGGAGGAAGGUGGGGAUGACGUCAAAUCAUCAUGCCCCUUAUGUCUUGGGCUUCACGCAUGCUACAAUGGCCGGUACAAAGGGCUGCAAUACCGUAAGGUGGAGCGAAUCCCAAAAAGCCGGUCUCAGUUCGGAUUGAGGUCUGCAACUCGACCUCAUGAAGUCGGAGUCGCUAGUAAUCGCAGAUCAGCAACGCU
RNAcentral lists this ribosomal RNA (797 nucleotides) under uncultured bacterium. RNAcentral describes it as "bacterial SSU rRNA". It matches the Rfam family "Bacterial small subunit ribosomal RNA", at positions 562 to 1358 of the family's 1533-position model. The record is from RNAcentral.